Non-coding RNA from Pelobates cultripes (western spadefoot toad), 112 nucleotides. The record is from the annotation of a GenBank genome assembly. Lineage: Eukaryota; Metazoa; Chordata; Amphibia; Anura; Pelobatidae.
GUGUGUGUGUAGUGUGUGUGUGUAUAUAAUGCAGUGCGUUUGUAUAGUGUGUGUAUAUAAUGCAGUGUGUAUUUGUGUGCAUUGUAUACACACACACACACACUAUACAAAC